Molecule: non-coding RNA, 810 nt
Organism: Castor canadensis (American beaver)
Lineage: Eukaryota; Metazoa; Chordata; Mammalia; Rodentia; Castoridae
Source: RefSeq, a predicted model, not a curated record
UUUUCGCCCAGGCACGCCGCGUCUUCCUUCACCAAUCCCCUUCUCACUUGCGCUGGGUCGGCGAGGGAGCCAGGAGAAACGGCCAACGGAUCUCCGGGGCCCACCCACCCGGACACGUCCACCGCGGAGAUGCGCGGCGAGAAGACGACUCGAUCCCCAGGCCGUCCGCCGCCUAGGCCCGAUCCUCCCGGGAGGAACGGAGGUCAACGCCGGCCCGAAGCUGCAGGGACGCAGGGCGCCCCGCCCCGCCAGAGGAGCACGGCGGGGAUGGACAGGAAGAAAGAAGAGCAAGCAUUGACAAAAGGGUUCUUUCUCAGCCGCCGCCCAGUCGCGCGGAGGUGGAGACCCGGGAGCGGUCAAGAUUCGGCUCCACCUGUAAUCCCCACCGCCUUGGCCCAGGAAGGCAUUGCCGCUGGAGGUGUUACGGAUGUUAACACUGCUUUACAAGAGGUGCUGAAGACUGCUCUCAUCCACGAUGGCGUUGCACGUGGAAUUCGCGAGGCUGCCAAAGCCUUAGACAAGCGCCAAGCCCAUCUUUGUGUGCCUGCAUCCAUCUGUAAGGAGCCCAUGUAUGUCAAGCUGGUGGAGGCCCUUUGUGCUGAGCACCAAAUCAACCUCAUUAAGGUAGAUGACAACAAGAAACUAGGAGACAGGGUAGGCCUCUGCAAAACUGAUCGAGAGGGAAAACCCCGUAAAGUGGUUGGUUGCAGUUGUGUGGUGUUUAAGGACUGUGGCAAAGAGUCUCAGGCCAAGGAUGUCAUACAAGCGUUCUUCAAAUGCAAGAAAUGAACAGAUAAAAUUUUUGACUCA